This 253-nucleotide ribosomal RNA is filed under the name uncultured bacterium. RNAcentral describes it as "partial 16S ribosomal RNA". It matches the Rfam family "Bacterial small subunit ribosomal RNA", at positions 524 to 776 of the family's 1533-position model. The record is from RNAcentral.
GACAGAGGUGCCAAGCGUUAGGCGGAAUCACUGGGCUUAAAGCGUGUGUAGGCGGGUCGUUAAGUACCUUGUGAAAUCCCCCGGCUCAACCGGGGAACGGCUGGGUAUACUGGCGAUCUUGAGCCACCUAGGGGCAGUCGGAACAAGUGGUGGAGCGGUGAAAUGCGUAGAUAUCACUUGGAACGCCAAUGGUGAAAACAGGCUGCUGGGGUUGCGCCGACGCUGAGACACGAAAGCCAGGGGAGCAAACGGG